This 301-nucleotide ribosomal RNA is filed under the name uncultured bacterium. Its description in RNAcentral is "partial 16S ribosomal RNA". It matches the Rfam family "Bacterial small subunit ribosomal RNA", at positions 509 to 807 of the family's 1533-position model. The record is from RNAcentral.
CAGUCGCCGCGGGAAUACAGAGGGUGCGAGCGUUAAUCGGAUUUACUGGGCGUAAAGCGUGCGUAGGCGGCUUCUUAAGUCGGAUGUGAAAUCCCUGAGCUUAACUUAGGAAUUGCAUUCGAUACUGGGAAGCUAGAGUAUGGGAGAGGAUGGUAGAAUUCCAGGUGUAGCGGUGAAAUGCGUAGAGAUCUGGAGGAAUACCGAUGGCGAAUGCAGCCAUCUGGCCUAAUACUGACGCUGAGGUACGAAAGCAUGGGGAGCAAACAGGAUUAGAUACCCCUGUAGUCCCUGUCUCUUAUAC